GGGUCGUUAGCUCAGUCGGUAGAGCAGCAGCCUUUUAAGCUGAUGGUCGCAGGUUCGAUCCCUGCACGACCCA
RNAcentral lists this transfer RNA (73 nucleotides) under Candidatus Moranbacteria bacterium CG_4_10_14_3_um_filter_44_15. RNAcentral's name for it is "tRNA-Lys". It matches the Rfam family "tRNA". Rfam says of the family: Transfer RNA (tRNA) molecules are approximately 80 nucleotides in length. Their secondary structure includes four short double-helical elements and three loops (D, anti-codon, and T loops). Lineage: Bacteria; Candidatus Moraniibacteriota. RNAcentral also lists the same sequence under 6 other names. The record is from RNAcentral.